Molecule: ribosomal RNA, 348 nt
Filed under: Triticum aestivum (bread wheat)
Lineage: Eukaryota; Viridiplantae; Streptophyta; Magnoliopsida; Poales; Poaceae
Description: partial small subunit ribosomal RNA
Source: RNAcentral
AUGAAGUUGUCUCGAUCUCGACAUUCAUGUCUCAGAACGCCCGAGGAUAGUGCCGAGAAGACCAACGUGGCGUGGGAGCCAUCCAAGGAUUUUAAGCACCUGAACUUGAAGUUGCUCUGGAUGUUGUCCGGGUUUGAGGAGGAAGACAAGGUGACAACCUAUACAAGGCUUGUCAUGGAACGAGCUGUGGGGUUGAAGAAAAUCGAUGUGCAAGGUUACCGCCCAUGCAGGGGCAGCAAUGCCACCGACCCUGACAGAAAAUCCCAGGUGGAUGAAGCUAGCAGGCGUCGGAUUAAGGAGCGACUCGAGCAUGGAUCCUCCUCGUCUGUGGGCAUAAUAAUCCGUUGA